RNAcentral lists this ribosomal RNA (694 nucleotides) under uncultured cyanobacterium. RNAcentral describes it as "bacterial SSU rRNA". It matches the Rfam family "Bacterial small subunit ribosomal RNA", at positions 66 to 804 of the family's 1533-position model. The record is from RNAcentral. Lineage: Bacteria; Bacillati; Cyanobacteriota.
ACGCACCUUUCGGGGUGAGUGGCGGACGGGUGAGUAACGCGUGAGAAUCUGCCUUUUGGUCGGGGACAACCACUGGAAACGGUGGCUAAUACCGGAUGUGCCUAAGGGUAAAAGAUUUAUUGCCAAAAGAGGAGCUCGCGUCUGAUUAGCUAGUUGGUAGGGUAAAAGCCUACCAAGGCAUCGAUCAGUAGCUGGUCUGAGAGGAUGACCAGCCACACUGGGACUGAGACACGGCCCAGACUCCUACGGGAGGCAGCAGUGGGGAAUUUUCCGCAAUGGGCGAAAGCCUGACGGAGCAAGACCGCGUGAGGGAAGAAGGCUCUUGGGUCGUAAACCUCUUUUGUCAGGGAAGAAAAAAAUGACGGUACCUGACGAAUCAGCCUCGGCUAACUCCGUGCCAGCAGCCGCGGUAAUACGGAGGAGGCAAGCGUUAUCCGGAAUUAUUGGGCGUAAAGCGUCCGCAGGUGGCUUCUCAAGUCUGCCGUCAAAGACCGGGGCUUAACCCUGGGAAGGCGGUGGAAACUGAUAGGCUAGAGUGCGGCAGGGGCAGAGGGAAUUCCCGGUGUAGCGGUGAAAUGCGUAGAGAUCGGGAAGAACAUCGGUGGCGAAAGCGCUCUGCUGGGCCGCAACUGACACUCAGGGACGAAAGCUAGGGGAGCGAAUGGGAUUAGAUACCCCAGUAGUCCUAGCCGUA